RNAcentral lists this ribosomal RNA (468 nucleotides) under uncultured bacterium. Its description in RNAcentral is "partial 16S ribosomal RNA". It matches the Rfam family "Bacterial small subunit ribosomal RNA", at positions 28 to 507 of the family's 1533-position model. The record is from RNAcentral.
GACGAACGCUGGCGGCGUGCUUAACACAUGCAAGUCGAACGGAAAGGCCCUGCUUUUGUGGGGUGCUCGAGUGGCGAACGGGUGAGUAACACGUGAGUAACCUGCCCUUGACUUUGGGAUAACUUCAGGAAACUGGGGCUAAUACCGGAUAGGAGCUCCUGCGGCAUGUUGGGGGUUGGAAAGUUUCGGCGGUUGGGGAUGGACUCGCGGCUUAUCAGCUUGUUGGUGGGGUAGUGGCUUACCAAGGCUUUGACGGGUAGCCGGCCUGAGAGGGUGACCGGCCACAUUGGGACUGAGAUACGGCCCAGACUCUUACGGGAGGCAGCAGUGGGGUAUAUUGCACAAUGGGCGGAAGCCUGAUGCAGCAACGCCGCGUGCGGGAUGACGGCCUUCGGGUUGUAAACCGCUUUCGCCUGUGACGAAGCGUGAGUGACGGUAAUGGGUAAAGAAGCACCGGCUAACUACGUG